This 382-nucleotide ribosomal RNA is filed under the name uncultured eukaryote. RNAcentral's name for it is "partial 18S ribosomal RNA". It matches the Rfam family "Eukaryotic small subunit ribosomal RNA", at positions 592 to 976 of the family's 1831-position model. The record is from RNAcentral.
CAAUAGCGUAUAUUAAAGUUGUUGCAGUUAAAAAGCUCGUAGUUGGAUUUCUGGAUGGAGCGACCGGUCGGGGAUUAAUUUGUCUGCACUGGAGUCGGUUCCGUCCAUCCUCUUGGAAAGUGCGUGGGGCAUUAAGUUGUCUGGCGUAUGAUCCAAGUCGUUUACUGUGAAAAAAUUAGAGUGUUUAAAGCAGGCCUUCGCCUUGAAUACAUUAGCAUGGAAUAAUAAGAUAGGACUUUGGUCUAUUUUGUUGGUUUGCAGACCGAAGUAAUGAUUAAUAGGGAUAGUUGGGGGUAUUUAUAUUCCGAUGUCAGAGGUGAAAUUCUUAGAUUUUCGGAAGAUAAACUUAUGCGAAAGCAUUUACCAAGGAUGUUUUCAUUAA